This 240-nucleotide ribosomal RNA is filed under the name uncultured bacterium. RNAcentral describes it as "partial 16S ribosomal RNA". It matches the Rfam family "Bacterial small subunit ribosomal RNA", at positions 93 to 334 of the family's 1533-position model. The record is from RNAcentral.
GACCGGCGAACGGGUGAGUAACGCGUACACAACUUACCUCUAAGUGGGGAAUAGCCUCGGGAAACUGAGAUUAAUACCCCAUAGUAUUACCAUAUUUAUGAUUAGGUAAUUAAAGCUCAGGCGCUUAGAGAUGGGUGUGCGUCCCAUUAGCUUGUUGGUAAGGUAACGGCUUACCAAGGCAACGAUGGGUAGGGGGCGUGAGAGCGUGGCCCCCCACACGGGUACUGAGACACGGGCCAG